This 268-nucleotide signal recognition particle RNA is filed under the name Candidatus Aminicenantota bacterium. RNAcentral's name for it is "Candidatus Aminicenantes bacterium (hot springs metagenome) signal recognition particle sRNA large type". It matches the Rfam family "Bacterial large signal recognition particle RNA". From Rfam's summary of the family: The signal recognition particle (SRP) is a universally conserved ribonucleoprotein involved in the co-translational targeting of proteins to membranes. Archaeal SRP consists of a 7S RNA and homologues of the eukaryotic SRP19 and SRP54 proteins. In most bacteria, the SRP consists of a 4.5S RNA and the Ffh protein (a homologue of the eukaryotic SRP54 protein). Lineage: Bacteria; Candidatus Aminicenantota. The record is from RNAcentral.
UCGUGCUAGACGGGGAGCUAGCGGUGCCCUGUAACCCACAACCCGCUCCAGUGGGGUCGAAUUCCCGGCCGAGGCCUCGCCUUUUCUGGUCCGGGCUGGAGGAGGAGGCGAUGAAGGUCAGGGCCCUCCACAAGGAAUCGCCUGUGAACCCCGCCAGGACCGGAAGGUAGCAACGGUAGCAGGUUUGAGACCUGGGUGUGAGGUGACCUUGCCAGAGCCGACAACUCCAGUGACGCAGGGAAGGUGGCGGUCGGAGCCGGGUGCACGA